AUUGAACGCUGGCGGCAUGCCUUACACAUGCAAGUCGAACGGUAACAGGUCUUCGGAUGCUGACGAGUGGCGAACGGGUGCGUAAUACAUCGGAACGUGCCCGAUCGUGGGGGAUAACGAAGCGCAAGCUUUGCUAAUACCGCAUACGAUCUACGGAUGAAAGCCGGGGACUGCAAGGCCUUGCGCGAACGGUGCGGCCGCUGGUAGAUUAGGCAGUUGGUGGGUUAAAAGCUUACCAAGCCGACGAUCUGUAGCUGGUCUGAGAGGAUGACCCGCCACACUGGAACUGAGACACGGCCCAGACUCCUACGGGAGGCAGCAGUGGGGAAUUUUGGACAAUGGGCGAAAGCCUGAUCCAGCAAGGCCGCGUGAAGGAUGAAGGCCUUCGGGUUGUAAACUGCUUUUGUACGGAACGAAAAGACGCUGGUUAAUACCUGGGGUCCAUGACGGUACCGAAAGAAAAAGCACCGGCUAACUACGUG
Molecule: ribosomal RNA, 482 nt
Filed under: uncultured bacterium
Lineage: Bacteria
Description: partial 16S ribosomal RNA
Rfam family: Bacterial small subunit ribosomal RNA
Source: RNAcentral